This 563-nucleotide ribosomal RNA is filed under the name uncultured bacterium. Its description in RNAcentral is "bacterial SSU rRNA". It matches the Rfam family "Bacterial small subunit ribosomal RNA", at positions 338 to 916 of the family's 1533-position model. The record is from RNAcentral.
CCUACGGGAGGCAGCAGUGGGGAAUCUUGCGCAAUGGGCGAAAGCCUGACGCAGCAACGCCGCGUGCGGGAAGAAGGCUCUCGGGUUGUAAACCGCUUUCAGAAGGAACGAAACUGACGGUACUUUCAGAAGAAGGUGCGGCCAACUACGUGCCAGCAGCCGCGGUGACACGUAGGCACCAAGCGUUGUCCGGAUUUAUUGGGCGUAAAGAGCUCGUAGGCGGUUCAGUAAGUCGGGUGUGAAAACUUUGGGCUUAACCCAAAGCCUGCAUCCGAUACUGCUGUGACUUGAGUACGGUAGGGGAGCGGGGAAUUUCUAGUGUAGCGGUGAAAUGCGCAGAUAUUAGAAGGAACACCGGUGGCGAAGGCGCCGCUCUGGGCCGUAACUGACGCUGAGGAGCGAAAGCGUGGGUAGCAAACAGGAUUAGAUACCCUGGUAGUCCACGCCGUAAACGUUGGGCACUAGGUGUGGGUCUCAACCAACGAGAUCCGCGCCGUCGCUAACGCAUUAAGUGCCCCGCCUGGGGAGUCGGCCGCAAGGUUAAAACUCAAAUGAAUUGACGG